RNAcentral lists this transfer RNA (70 nucleotides) under Listeria monocytogenes. RNAcentral describes it as "tRNA-Lys". It matches the Rfam family "tRNA". Rfam says of the family: Transfer RNA (tRNA) molecules are approximately 80 nucleotides in length. Lineage: Bacteria; Bacillati; Bacillota; Bacilli; Caryophanales; Listeriaceae. The record is from RNAcentral.
GAGCCGUUAGCUCAGUGGUUAGAGCAUCUGACUUUUAAUCAGAGGUCGCUGGUUCGAACCAGCACGCUCA